GACGAACGCUGGCGGCGUGCCUAAUACAUGCAAGUAGGACGCAGUUGCGAACGGGUGAGUAACGCGUAGGUAACUACCUAUUAGAGGGGGAUAACUAUUGGAAACGAUAGCUAAUACCGCAUACUAGUAGAUGGACCUGCGUUGUAUUAGCUAGUAGGGAGGGUAAUGGCCUACCUAGGCAACGAUACAUAGCCGACCUGGGAGGGGGAACGGGCACACUGGGAAUUGGACAAUGGCCCAACCUCCUAGGGAGGCAGCAGUAGGGAAUCUUCGGCAAUGGGGGGAACCCUGGACGAGCAAAGCCGGGGGAGGGAAGAAGGUUUUCGGGUCGGAAAGCUCUGUUGUUAAGGAAGCGGUACUUAACCAGAAAGGGACGGCUAACUACGUGCCAGCAGCCGCGGUAAUAC
RNAcentral lists this ribosomal RNA (407 nucleotides) under uncultured bacterium. RNAcentral describes it as "partial 16S ribosomal RNA". It matches the Rfam family "Bacterial small subunit ribosomal RNA", at positions 28 to 526 of the family's 1533-position model. The record is from RNAcentral.